AUGCAUUUCUUUAACUUGUCCAGGGUCAGAAGAAGAAGAAGAAUCUGAAU
RNAcentral lists this small RNA (50 nucleotides) under Arabidopsis thaliana (thale cress). RNAcentral describes it as "ATSL055220". The record is from RNAcentral. Lineage: Eukaryota; Viridiplantae; Streptophyta; Magnoliopsida; Brassicales; Brassicaceae.